This 24-nucleotide non-coding RNA is filed under the name Arabidopsis thaliana (thale cress). Lineage: Eukaryota; Viridiplantae; Streptophyta; Magnoliopsida; Brassicales; Brassicaceae. The record is from RNAcentral.
GUCUAAUAGUUUGAUGGCUCGUGU